UACAAUGUAUCUCAGCCAUCCCGAU
This 25-nucleotide non-coding RNA is filed under the name Rattus norvegicus (Norway rat). The record is from RNAcentral. Lineage: Eukaryota; Metazoa; Chordata; Mammalia; Rodentia; Muridae.